GGGGAAUUUUGGACAAUGGGCGAAAGCCUGAUCCAGCAAUGCCGCGUGUGUGAAGAAGGCCUUCGGGUUGUAAAGCACUUUUGUCCGGAAAGAAAUCCUUGGCUCUAAUACAGUCGGGGGAUGACGGUACCGGAAGAAUAAGCACCGGCUAACUACGUGCCAGCAGCCGCGGUAAUACGUAGGGUGUGAGCGUUAAUCGGAAUUACUGGGCGUAAAGCGUGCGCAGGCGGUUUGCUAAGACCGAUGUGAAAUCCCCGGGCUCAACCUGGGAACUGCGUUGGUGACUGGCAGGCUAGAGUAUGGCAGAGGGGGGUAGAAUUCCACGUGUAGCAGUGAAAUGCGUAGAGAUGUGGAGGAAUACCGAUGGCGAAGGCAGCCCCCUGGGCAAAGACUGACGCUCAGGCACGAAAGCGUGGGGAGCAAAC
This 425-nucleotide ribosomal RNA is filed under the name uncultured bacterium. Its description in RNAcentral is "bacterial SSU rRNA". It matches the Rfam family "Bacterial small subunit ribosomal RNA", at positions 356 to 773 of the family's 1533-position model. The record is from RNAcentral.